Molecule: ribosomal RNA, 430 nt
Filed under: uncultured bacterium
Lineage: Bacteria
Description: bacterial SSU rRNA
Rfam family: Bacterial small subunit ribosomal RNA
Source: RNAcentral
CGAACGCUGGCGGCAGGCCUAACACAUGCAAGUCGAACGCUCCAGCAAUGGAGAGUGGCAGACGGGUGAGUAACGCGUGGGAACCUUCCCUAUGGUUCGGAAUAGCUCAGGGAAACUUGAGGUAAUACCGGAUAAGCCCUUCGGGGGAAAGAUUUAUCGCCAUUGGAUGGGCCCGCGUAGGAUUAGCUAGUUGGUGAGGUAACGGCUCACCAAGGCGACGAUCCUUAGCUGGUCUGAGAGGAUGAUCAGCCACACUGGGACUGAGACACGGCCCAGACUCCUACGGGAGGCAGCAGUGGGGAAUAUUAGACAAUGGGCGCAAGCCUGAUCCAGCCAUGCCGCGUGAGUGACGAAGGCCUUGGGGUUGUAAAGCUCUUUUGGCGGGGAAGAUAAUGACGGUACCCGCAGAAUAAGCUCCGGCUAACUUCGU